UUUUUUUUUUUUAUUCUGUAGAGAAAUGUUUGUGCAAAUUCAGUAAUUCAACUGAAGAGAUAAUUUUACAGCUAUGUUCAAUAAAGCCUCUUUCCAGCCGUCAGAGCAGGGAGUUUGUACUAUGAGCUGCAUAUUGUGGAAAGGAUGUUUUGUUUUUGUCCCACCACAAAACGUCCAAACGACGUCUUUGUGACCAUGUCGUCGUGCUCACAGCGAGUGCUCCUGCAGAACUAGGCUUGCAGAGGGCGCGGGGCUGAGGCUCAGAUUAACCCCUGGUAAAAGAGCAUCUUACCUGGUGUUCGAGCUGCUCGUACCUGUGCCCUGCUCCUCCAGCACCUGAAGUCUAAGCUCAGCAAAGAGCACCCUGGCUCGUUCUCUCACUCUCUGUUUCAAACUACCUUGAAAGGACCCCUGGUAUUUUAAAUAUGAAAUCAGUGUUGAACUCCUGACAAGAAACUUAAUGGGGAGAGGGUGUUUGCGUUCCCUGUGCCGAUGUUUCCCCAUGCAUCCUGGUAGCCUCACCUACCGUGCUCCCUCCUAGCUGGCUCUUGGCAUGGUUGGGGUUGUCCUCUUGUUGAGGACCUCCUCAUGAGAGCCCACCGAGGACCUGCAGCAGGUCCCUUGCAACCACUUCCCUGCCACAUCCACUCCCCAGGACUCUUUCCAUUGAGGAAGCAACUUGAACAUGGACACAUACUUGGACAGAUGAACAGCAAUGAACUUUGCUCAUAGCUAAAGUCAUGGCUGAGAAGUUGAGAAAAGUCAGAGCUGCUGCCCUGGGAUCCCAAAUGCCGUGAUCUUCAUGUGCUGGAGGCUUCUGACUGCCCAUCCAUGGUGAGGAAACAGGAACRUGGCAACAAACACAACUGUGAUAUUUAACAAAAUGUUUUGGGACGAUAGGACCACAGGAGAGACUGGAGAACCACAUGUUGCUGCGCAGGAGAUCGAGUGGCCUCGGCACCUUCUYGGGAAAGACGAGAUGCUCUUCUGCUUGAACACUACCGCCUGCAAAGGGAAAACAAAUCUGUGUUUGUGUAAAUAUUCUAUAAAUAACUGUAAUUGUAUGUAUCUAAUGUAUAUAUAAUGAUUAUUGCAUUUUAACUAUCUUGAUYAGUGUAAAUAGCCAAAACUUGGGCUCUUAUUUUGCCAGAACACCCACAGUAGAAUUAUUUUUUGCCAUCGUUGUUAACAUCUCUGGUUAAAUUACAAACUGCUCUCA
Nothoprocta perdicaria is the source of this 1219-nucleotide long non-coding RNA. RefSeq lists it as uncharacterized. NCBI's taxonomy places the organism in Eukaryota, Metazoa, Chordata, Aves, Tinamiformes, Tinamidae. The record is from RefSeq and is a predicted model, not a curated record. The transcript has 2 exons.